UGAAAAAUAGAGGCACAGACGGACAGAGAAGGACAAAUAUAGAGAGAAUGGGAGCAUGGUGGGGGUAAAGGAGGGAGAGAAAUUGAGGGAAACAGAGUGGGAGAGACAGAGGGAGUAGGCAGAGGAGAGGAGGCGGGAGGGAAGGGAUACUGCAUUUUAGUGAUGGCACAGACUGAGGCUGCAGCAGCAGACAGAGAACGAUGAGAGAGGUAGAAAUUAAAAAAGAGCAGCAGUGCAUUGUCAGGGAGAGUACGGCAGGAUUCCAACGCAGACUGUCACAAAAACAUAUUUGGAGAGCCAGCUGUGAGGGUUAAAGAGAGGAAAAAUGGACCAAACUUGCUACAGGGACUGCGGCGAGUGAAAAAGGCAUUUCACCAGUGGGAAGAGGAGAAACUAAGCCUUCUGUAAUCAAAUGAGUAAGACUACUAGCAACAGCAAAAACACAGACAGGAUCAAGCAUUUAAAAGCAGACUCCUGCCUCUGUUGGGAAAAAGUAUGACUGGCUCCUUUUUGUCUUUCUGUUUGACUGUCUAUCCACAGUCUGUCCUUCUGUCUGUGUCAGCAGGAUGAAAAGGCAUCAUUUCAGCGCCUAGGACCUAAAAAAAUGCUGAACAAAUCCUGAUGGUUGUUAGAGAAGCGAGGCACUAAAAAAAAAAGAACAUUUGCAAGCUUCUGGAAGGAAAAGGGAGGAGAGAGCGGUAUGACUCAGAGCACAGCAGCUCAAAUGCCGCGUUUUCUGCAUGCAAGAGGAGAGGUGGAGGGAGAUAGAGGAACAAUGAGGAAGAUAUAAAGCGGGGGGGGAAAAAAUCAGAGAGGACUUGACCAGAAUUGAGCUGUCAUUAGACAGAAGAAGGACAGGAUGAGGACAGAAGUAACCACGCAGGCAGGCAGGCAGUGAGUGAUAUAUAGGCCACGUGAAUCAGGUUGCAAGAGGGAGAGGAAGGCAAGAAGAGGGUGAAUAUAGAAAGUGGAAGGUUUAAUUUGACUGAAGCCAGUUGAGGGAAGGUUGAGUGAAGGUUUGCUGCAGGGUUAGUGGAUGGAGAACUGCAAAAAAGGACAGUAGGAGGGGAUUAAUGAAAGAUUGUUUGAGCUCCUUGCGGGCAAGAAAGUCCUGCGUGGCUGUGUUUUACCUCCAGGAGAGAACCUGGCAGAGGUUUGGAUAUGGAGCAAGUUUCAUGAGGGUUAAAUAGAAGAAGGCAAUGAUGGAGGGUAGAAAGGUUAGAGCAAUAUUGGAAAUACAAUAAAGCACAGAAGGACAGAAAGACGGAGCUGAAGAGAAAACACUGCAGACCAGAGAACAUGAGAUCCAGCGCACAGUGAUGGGGACAUGGAAACUUUAACUGUGACAGCAGCACAGCAAGAGAUUGCUGUUAAAUAUUGAUGCCGAUAGGCCACUCUGGCAAGAACAUGCUACUUGCUCCACAGAGGGGAAAACAGAAGAGAUGCAACUGAUUUCUUUCUCUCUGAGGAGUUUUUACACCAGAAUAGUCAAGCUGAGCGAUAUGAAGCAGAGAUGUUGGCACAAAAUAACAUAAGACAUGCAAAAUAGCCAGGAGUUGGCUUCCUGGAGGUUUUUUGGGCAGCUGUCCAACUUCUUUGGAUUGACUGCAAUGACUUUCUAGAGAAAGGAGGACCUUUAGGAAGAGGACCGAUAUUUGAGCGAUCUCAUGAGGACCACAACAUUUUCUUCUUUUCUACAAGAAGAACACUGAUUUAUAUUUUGGAUUGAAAUGCUUCACCUGCUUCUACAGCGCCAGUCCUGCCAGAUGAGUUAAGCCAACACUGCUGAAGCAUAAAUGAUUUUCUUGUGUGUUUCCUGCAAGGAUUAGAUUUGAGUAUUUGACCAAUAGAAGACUGCUUGAGGAAAUAUGCGAGGAAAUUCUUGGACUGAAUAAAGUCCCACUGCCUCUUGAUCUCUAAACAUUCAGUAACUGCCAUUUCUCCAACCUGAAUUUCUGAUUCCUCAAAACAUCAAAAAACAGCAACACAAUGCCACAAUCUCCAUCCAGCUGCAAAUAGUCCAGCUGUGUGUUUAUGUGAGGCUGCGCAGGGGGUGUGUAAGGACUGUGGAUGUGCUCAGCUGUGUUUGUGGAUAUGCUUGUGUGUGUGUAGUGGUGUGUGUGUGUGUGUUUGCGCUGAGCUUCGAACCCAGCUGUGUCGAAGUGUAUUCUCAAAGAGUUACCCAGAACUGCUUGUGUGUGUGUGUCGCCUGGAUUCUUGGCACCAGCGACAGCGCUGGACCUGAACAGCAGUGGAAAGAGGGGGGACAGGGAGGGGAGGGAGGAGGAGAAGAAGAAGGAGGCGAGAGAAACCAGCAGGACGGUGGAGAAGAAAAAACUGACAGCAUGCUCGGAUAAAGAGAAGAAAGAAAGGAGUCUUCGACUGCCCCCCUGGUGCAAUGUAUGGCGUCACGCCCUGUGGGGGUGGGGUUCUGUGAUGGUAACAAUGGUCCCGGGCAGCCGCUAUGUCUGCAGCGCUCACGCAAGAGAGGAUGACUCCACGAAUGACCGUGAAGAGCGAAUCUUAGCAGUGCUGGGCAUCAUUGGGACCAUUCUCAAUCUUUUAGUGGUCAUAUUUGUCUACAUCUACACCUCCGUCACCUAAGGCUUUCUGCUGGACUUGAGCAUGGAGAUGCUGGCACAAUACUUUUACCAACACUGCCAUCCCUCUCUUUAAGUAUUUCUAUACUAAGAGGGUUUGAUUAUUUGACGUAAGCGCUGACUUAUGAGGAUUGUUGGCAGUUUGAUCAGCUGGAUUGUAACUAUUUUUAUCUACACCUGCAUCUACACUGUUUACUCCUUAAGACAGCUCUGCUCUGCUAGCUAAAGACUGCCUGCAGUCACAGAGGAGGAGCUUCAUGUGGAAUUGCCUGGACGUUCCUGUACUGUUCAUAUUAACUGUGUCAUUUCUUUCCCCACAGCCAUUAUGGCAACAGUGAUAUACUUGUAUUUAUAUUGCUCCAUGACUGUGGGCUAACAUUUAUGGGAUGUCUCAGACAGCAGGAGAGGAGGUCAUGAUUGUCUUCGAUUUAAUGGUGUUCAAAUUUGAAAGCCAUGUUCCUUCCACACUUUUGUGCAAACUUAAAAAAAACCCAAAACACUGCCAUUUAUCUAAAAGGUCACAAAAACAAGACACUUUUGAUUCAACCAGAACAAAUGAGUUGAUAAGAAAGGUAUAUGCUCCUAAAACUAUUACUUGGGACCAAGAUUGUUAAACUAAUUAUUAUCAUUAUCAACAGCGGGAUCCUUUAGCCUAUCUGCUCCCAACACCCAUAAAUCUACUUGAACAGAACAUCGAUACUAACACACAAAUAAUCCAAGCGUCCAGUGAAAUACCACUUUUAUUAAUUAACAGAUUUCUUGAAAAAGUUUUACAUGGACCUGACGUGUCCAUACCUGAGCACACCAGAAGAAAGAUUCCUGGCUGUGCUAGGAGUCAUUGGCAUUGUCCUUAACCUCCUGCUUCUAGUCUUUGUCUAUAUAUACACUUCUAUCUGAUACAUCACAGUUUUUCUGUCAGAAUACAGUGCUGUUUAUCUAUGAUCACAUUCCUCUAACUUACUACAAUGAUCACAUCUUGCAUUAAGGAGGUUAUUUUAUUGCACUUGUCUAAAUUGGUAAACUGUGACAUGGUUUAUAUCGCAUAUGGAGAUUGCAUCUCAUUCUAGUUUGUAAUGGAAAUACAAAAUGUGAAAAUAUUUGCUCUACAGUUGGUUUUUUAUACAGUACUCUUACACAUGUGUGAAUCACGAGAUGUUUACUUAAGCUUAUAUUGCUGUAUUGAAAUACUCUUUAUAACGCUUUGACCAAUAUAACUCAUUGAAGUGUUUCUGUUCAUUCCACACGAUUACCGAUAUUAAAAACACAAAGACAUGAAACUGGAUGACGUUUUAGCCUUUGCAGAAGCUUUGUACAUCAGCAAAGAUCCCUCUGUGCAUAAUUGGGGCCACAAAAUGAUCGUCUGUGUUGUGUUGCCAUGUUUCUGUGAUUGGAUAUGGAAACCAGGCACAGAGCAGCAACACAGAGUGCAAAGCAUGAAAAAGAGACAAUGUCACACAAAUCAAGACUGUGUACUUUUGCAGUGCGACACAAAGGACUACAACAGUGAUAAACAAACUGGUGAGAAACAGCAUGGCUUGUCAGAAAAAAGAGGACAUCAAAUCUCUCUACAAAGCUUCACCAUCUGUCUUGAAACUCGGAAAGGCACAAAAAACUCCCCGGGAUUUGGUUACAACCUGUUCAAUGGAGCUGCAUGUCAUUAUGGAUAUAAUUUUAGGUUUAAGAGCUGUGACUGUAUUGGAGGAGCAAAGCAAAAUGAAGCUGACAAGCAAGCAGGGAGGACUGGCUCGAAUCUACACUUUAUCCUCAUCAUUCUUUUCUCCACCAACAAGCUGACACCAGAGAAGACAUAGUAACACGUGAGUCCCUGCUGUCAUUUCAUAGAGCACAGGAACCAUUUAUUUCCCAAAAUGAAUGACCAGCGACUCUGAGUGCUCUCUUAACUUUCUGAGAUUUCUGUUGGCUUGUGUGGAAAACCUUGAUAUUUUAUAAUUUCUGCAUAUGAUUACUUGUUACACUGUGUAUGUAAGCUCUUAGGUUUAGUAGCAAUUUGACAUUGAGUGUUUUGUUUGGUUUGUUGUCAAGUAAAUCCAAAAGUCACAAUCACUAUACAAGAAAAUGUUUGGAAUGAAACUCAGUGUAGAUGGUUCUGUUGACCACAGUCUAUUUUUAUAAAUUGUACAGGGUUCAGACAAGUGUGCCCACAGCCUAUACUAAAUACUGGAUAAUAAGUGGCCACCACAGACUAGCUCCAAAACUGAGUUAAUCUCCAGGGAGUCCCAUGGUAAAAUGACCAAAUUUACAACAGAAAUGACCAUGUCUGAAUUGUGGGAUUUAAAAAACCCUUCUCUUUAAAAAAGUAAUUGCAUAGGGGUUAUUUUUUAAAAAUAUAUAAUUUACCUGUUUUAAAUUGUAUUAAGGCUUAAAGGCUUAUUAGUGGCACAGCCACUUCGAUUGGCAGGUGUGUGCAGACACUUGCUGCUGUAUCCUGUAGCUGUAUGCUAAGCUUCACCUCUGCUAGCCACAGAAAAGUACCUCUCAAAGUAUAUGUGGUGUUGGUGCCUUUUGGAAUAUUUUUAAUGCAACUAUCUGACAAAUAACAUGGCUUAUUGAGAAGUUGAUUACUAACAGCUGUCAAAGAAAUCCACGCUGCAAUUUAAGUGAGCGAUAUUCUAGCAUUUUGUUGUACUAUGCACUACUUUGCAAGUAUCUGUGUAUGUGUUAUGCACCCAUACAGUCUAUGGAUGCACCUUGCUAACCAAGCUUGCUAGCCUUAGCUGUAUUACGCCACCCUCUCAUCCAAACAUGGUCACUUAUGGCCAAGGAAAAUGUAUGUGUUGGCAACCAGAAAGCUAAAACCAAGGCUUUAAAAUGGAACUUCACGAACCAAUGAAUGAUUUCAUGGUGGUUACAUCAAUCUUUCACAUGCGGUGAAGAAAAUUCAUUUAAAGAUGCAUAAGCAACUCACAUGAGAACUCUCUGAACUUCUCACUUGCACAUUUACGCUUACACAGAUUAUGAUUAGUAUGUCUUUUCUUGCAAACCCCUCACUGCAUUUUCCCCUGACCUCAAGUAGCACAUCAAACUCUUUCUGCAACAUUAUAACUGGAGGCUAUAACCUAUAACCUGUUUAAUUAUGUUACUGUUUCUUGCCCUGUUCAUUGUGUAAUCAAUGGAAUCAAUGGACUACCUAUAAUAAUAAAACCUACAUUUUAAUAAACUGA
Molecule: non-coding RNA, 5782 nt
Organism: Maylandia zebra (zebra mbuna)
Lineage: Eukaryota; Metazoa; Chordata; Actinopteri; Cichliformes; Cichlidae
Source: RefSeq, a predicted model, not a curated record